This 655-nucleotide ribosomal RNA is filed under the name uncultured bacterium. RNAcentral describes it as "bacterial SSU rRNA". It matches the Rfam family "Bacterial small subunit ribosomal RNA", at positions 153 to 796 of the family's 1533-position model. The record is from RNAcentral.
GAAACGGCAGCUAAGACCGCAUAAGUAGGGACACUGCAUGGUGACCGUAUUAAAAUGCUGCAAGGCACUGGUAGAGGAUGGACUUAUGGCGCAUUAGCUGGUUGGUGAGGUAACGGCUCACCAAGGCGACGAUGCGUAGCCGACCUGAGAGGGUGACCGGCCACACUGGGACUGAGACACGGCCCAGACUCCUACGGGAGGCAGCAGUAGGGAAUUUUCGGCAAUGGGGGGAACCCUGACCGAGCAACGCCGCGUGAAGGAAGAAGGAAUUCGUUCUGUAAACUUCUGUUAUAAAGGAAGAAAGACGGAUGGAGGAAAUGACAUCCGAGUGACGGUACUUUAUGAGAAAGCCACGGCUAACUACGUGCCAGCAGCCGCGGUAAUACGUAGGUGGCAAGCGUUAUCCGGAAUUAUUGGGCGUAAAGAGGGAGCAGGCGGCAGCAAAGGUCUGUGGUGAAAGACUGAAGCUUAACUUCAGUAAGCCAUAGAAACCGGGCAGCUAGAGUGCAGGAGAGGAUCGUGGAAUUCCAUGUGUAGCGGUGAAAUGCGUAGAUAUAUGGAGGAACACCAGUGGCGAAGGCGACGAUCUGGCCUGCAACUGACGCUCAGUCCCGAAAGCGUGGGGAGCAAAUAGGAUUAGAUACCCUAGUAGUCC